CCUGCCCCCAUCCCUCUACCUCACUCCCAUGAGGUGCUCAAAGGAGGCGGGUGAGUAUAAGAAAAACAAACAAAAAAAACAAACAAACACCACCCUUGCAUUCGGGGAGUUUAACAAGCAGAAGGGUUGAGAGAUCUUUGUGCUUAAAGGCCCUCUGCUGAGUGCUUGAGAUGCAAAAGUAAGACAGAUUCGCUGUCAUCUCAGUACCUAAGUUGUGUUUUAUUAUGAAAUAUUGAUUUGUUUCCUUCUGUCCCACUCCCUCGACAGCUUUUCGCGGUGGAGACGGCGGCCGCCGGGACGGUGUCUGCCACACAGUAGGUGGUCAAAACCCGACAGCGGGAAGGAAAUGCAAUGGAACCGCCGCGGGCUUGAGUUUUCUCUUUUGAACAACGAGAAUGACAGCUCCAACGGGACACUUGGAGGUCAGGACGAACGAAAGGAACCUAAGAAGCUUGGAUGGGAAAGCCUCCUAGAAAUAAUGGAGUCGCAGGGAGGCGAGUGAGGAAACGCUGCAUUUCGUCCGGGUGUCCGAGGGAAGAAGAGAAGGAGGAGGGGUGAAACCGCUGAGCCAGAAGCAAGCCAGGGUCCUACAGAAGAGGGACAGCCCAGGCGACCGCAAGCAGUGCGGCGUCUGCACCCGCAGUGGCCACCGCGGGCAGGAGACCUAAAGGGAAGGGAAAGGGCAGGGGCGAGGAAAUCCAGGGAAAGCGCGCGGAUUGGUCCGCUCCUCGGGGCGUGUGCUUCUGUGCGCCAAGCGAUUGGUGGCGGGAAAGUAGCAGGUAAACCAGCCCCCACCGCCCCGCCA
RNAcentral lists this long non-coding RNA (805 nucleotides) under Felis catus (domestic cat). Its description in RNAcentral is "lncRNA (ENSFCAG00000048425.1)". The record is from RNAcentral. Lineage: Eukaryota; Metazoa; Chordata; Mammalia; Carnivora; Felidae.